RNAcentral lists this non-coding RNA (31 nucleotides) under Mus musculus (house mouse). The record is from RNAcentral. Lineage: Eukaryota; Metazoa; Chordata; Mammalia; Rodentia; Muridae.
UCCCGUGCUGAGAUGUUUCCUGAGUAACCAC